CAAGGUCUCCGUUGGUGAACCAGCGGAGGGAUCAUUACUGAGUUAUUUAAACUCCAAACCCUUUGUGAACUUACCGUCGUUUCCUCGGCGUGUGCUGCGGCUACCCCGUAGCUACCUACCCGGUAGCUACCCUGUAGCUGGCCCACGGCCCGCCGCAGGACCGCUAAACUCUUGUUUUUACCACUGUAUCUCUGAAUUGUUAACUGAAAUAAGUUAAAACUUUCAACAACGGAUCUCUUGGUUCUGGCAUCGAUGAAGAACGCAGCGAAAUGCGAUAAGUAAUGUGAAUUGCAGAAUUCAGUGAAUCAUCGAAUCUUUGAACGCACAUUGCGCCCAUUAGUAUUCUAGUGGGCAUGCCUAUUCGAGCGUCAUUUCAACCCUUAAGCCUUGUUGCUUAGCGUUGGGAGUCUACGGCUUCGGCGUAGCUCCUGAAAGUUAGUGGCGGAGUUAGGGUACACUCUCAGCGUAGUAACACUUCUCGCUCGUGUGGUGGCCCUGGCUGCUGGCCGUUAAACCCCCAUAUCUUUUAGUGGUUGACCUCGGAUUAGGUAGGAAUACCCGCUGAACUUAAGCA
Molecule: ribosomal RNA, 574 nt
Filed under: Hypoxylon anthochroum
Lineage: Eukaryota; Fungi; Ascomycota; Sordariomycetes; Xylariales; Hypoxylaceae
Description: eukaryotic LSU rRNA
Rfam family: 5.8S ribosomal RNA (bases 218-371)
Source: RNAcentral